UAAAAUUUGCCACAGACAUUCACGUGAUCAACAACAGACACACAUCAUGCCCCUAUCAUGGUCUAAACCAAUCAGAGACAGUCUCUAGAAGUUGCUAAAUGACGGCAUCGCCUAAUUUGCAUAAUUGGUCACGCUGAUGUAAUUGUAACCUACGUUGUUGGAGAGAGAAGUAACAUCGUGGAAGAGACAUAAAACCUGUUUCAAAUCAUAAGCAGACACAACCAAAAACCGCUUCAUGUCGGAAACAAACAGGUAAGACUUUUUAAAAAAAAUCUUUUAUCAUGAGGAGCAGAGAAGAUGACAAGAACAGGAAAGACUGAACUAACAGUCUUUUAGUAUACUUUUUAUUACAAACCCUAACGAGCAGUAACUGAUUAUGUGUUGCUCUACACUUGUAGGAUGCAUCUUAAAGGCAUGCGGGGCAGAGGAGAUGAGCGGAAGAGGAAACAGAUAUGGAGGACAGAUAGCGCCAUCGAUAUGUUGCUCAUCAAUGACCAACAAUUAGCAGAAAUCUGGCAACGGACAGUUGGCAAAAAGACGGCAUUACACCCCAAGCCUCCACUGUCCCAGUAACAGCGGAUUACCAUGGAGAGUAAAGUUUUCAGUUGGUAAA
Oreochromis niloticus (Nile tilapia) is the source of this 613-nucleotide long non-coding RNA. RefSeq lists it as uncharacterized. The record is from RefSeq and is a predicted model, not a curated record. Lineage: Eukaryota; Metazoa; Chordata; Actinopteri; Cichliformes; Cichlidae. The transcript has 2 exons.